UCCUUAGUAGUCCAGUGGCUAAGACUCUGCAUUCCCAAUGCAGGGAACCUGGGUUCGAUCCCUGGUCAGGGAA
Non-coding RNA from Bos taurus (domestic cattle), 73 nucleotides. The record is from Rfam. Lineage: Eukaryota; Metazoa; Chordata; Mammalia; Artiodactyla; Bovidae.